RNAcentral lists this ribosomal RNA (392 nucleotides) under uncultured bacterium. RNAcentral describes it as "partial 16S ribosomal RNA". It matches the Rfam family "Bacterial small subunit ribosomal RNA", at positions 523 to 918 of the family's 1533-position model. The record is from RNAcentral.
AUACGGAGGAUGCGAGCGUUAUCCGAAUUUAUUGGGUUUAAAGGGAGCGUAGGCGGGAGCUUAAGUCAGCGGUUAAAUGGUGCGGCUCAACCGUGCCCUGCCGUUGAAACUGGGUUUCUUGAGAGUGCAAGAGGCGGAUGGAAUUCAUGGUGUAGCGGUGAAAUGCUUAGAUAUCAUGAAGAACUCCGAUUGCGAAGGCAGUCCGCUGGGGCACGUCUGACGCUGAUGCUCGAAGGUGCGGGAAUCAAACAGGAUUAGAUACCCUGGUAGUCCGCACGGUAAACGAUGAUUACCCGCUGUCGGCGGUAGACAGUCGGCGGCCAAGCGAAAGCGAUAAGUAAUCCACCUGGGGAGUACGCCGGCAACGGUGAAACUUAAAGGAAUUGACGGGG